UGUGUCAUGCAUAGACUAAUUGAACUGGUGUUUUUGGUGUUUCAAUUUGAACAGGUUGAUUUGCAGGACAUGCAGAUUACACAGGCUGUUUUGUAGAUUCCGAUCCAAUCAGAAAGUGUCCUUAUGUAUAUAGAGGCACACACUUUUUAACCUUGACUAUAGACUUCUGUAUACUUGGAUGCGCAGAUGAUGGGUUUAAAUAUGCCGGUAUGCAGUCUCGGCAAUGGUGCCAUUGUGGUAAUGACCCAUACUUUGAUCUUGCAAAACAUCCAAAUGUCAGCGAUUCAGAAUGUAAUACACCGUGUUUUGGGAACUGGACACAAAUGUGUGGUGCAGAUUGGAGGCUAUCUAUAUAUCGUAUUAGAGACGUCAUAAGUGUUCCAACUUUUCAGCAGUAUGGAACAGCAUUCUACGGUAGAGCCAUUUCAAGUCAGCCGUUGAAAUCAAAAUUUAUACACAGUAAUGGUUUGAAAGCGAAAGUUGACUGUGCGAAGGCAUGUGGAUAUAUCAUUGACUGUAAAGUGUUUUCUAUUUCCUCGCAGACUAAACAUUGUCACCUGUUUGAAAAGACUAUAAAGCUUUGUGAUGCCAAUAUCACGGAUCCAAAUACGUCAGUCCAUCUCCUUUUAUGAACAGUUUAUGGCUAUCUUGAUUAUGUAGCUAUCUUCCCAGUUUAAACGAACAAAUUUUAUAAAAAAUGUCUAAUACACAAGGUGCCCUCUAUCAUUUCGAGGUCCAGUCAUCUUUUUGUUAUUUCACUGUGCAAUUUAUGUUUUACUUUUACGACGAAUACAUGGCGAAGAAAGGCCAUGGAGAUAAUUUUGUACAUUGAAACCCUUAUUUAUAUAUGAUAGUAGCAAUACUAGCAAAUGUUUGUUUUUCUUCAUGUUUAUUAUCUUAUAUGAAUUCAUUCUCGAAGCAUUGUAUGUUUAUUUCAGAUAUAGAAAUAACCAUACAUGUAACCAGGAGGGUCUCGAGAAAUGGGUUGGGCUUUCCUAAACCUCUUUGAAAACUAUAAAGAUUUUAUUAAAUUGUUUUUGAACAUU
Long non-coding RNA from Mytilus californianus (California mussel), 1046 nucleotides. RefSeq lists it as uncharacterized. The record is from RefSeq and is a predicted model, not a curated record. The transcript is spliced from 4 exons. Lineage: Eukaryota; Metazoa; Mollusca; Bivalvia; Mytilida; Mytilidae.